Molecule: long non-coding RNA, 214 nt
Filed under: Medicago truncatula (barrel medic)
Lineage: Eukaryota; Viridiplantae; Streptophyta; Magnoliopsida; Fabales; Fabaceae
Description: long non-coding RNA (MTRU_LNC001132)
Source: RNAcentral
CGGAGUGUCUAUCUAUUCCAUGGAAAAUGGCUUUUGGGGUUACUUUUUAAGGUAUGUUUGGAUUGAAGUUUACAAUAUAGUUUUUAAUUACAUUAUUUUUUGCGAAAAUGUGUUUGCUCCUAUGAAUUUAUGUUUAGAUAACUUUUCACAUAUGUAUGAAUAACAAUCUGUAAUUUUUGUUGUUGUAUACAAAGUGAUAAACGCCAUUUAAAAU